This is a long non-coding RNA of Diorhabda carinulata, 2997 nucleotides long. RefSeq lists it as uncharacterized. The record is from RefSeq and is a predicted model, not a curated record. The transcript has 2 exons. Lineage: Eukaryota; Metazoa; Arthropoda; Insecta; Coleoptera; Chrysomelidae.
AAGUUGACGUCUGUCAAUAGAUCUAAUCAAUCUUGCUCUUUUAUGUGUAAGACUGAAAUUACAAUAAAUUGUUUGUACUGAAAAUCAUAUCAGUUAUUAUUUUCAAACCACGUAAUUUUUCUUUAUGGUAGCAGAGCGUGGUUCUAUGGAAAUAACAGAAGACUGAAGGAAGUGAUUAUACAACUGUUAAAAUUAAGUUAAGUAAUUUGGAAGUUAUAAAACUUCAUCUUCAAAAUGGGUUCAAAUUUGUCUAAUUUGGAAAAACUAGUGGGAAGAGAAAAUUUUACCACUUGGAAAUUCACUAUGAAAAUAUAUUUACAGCAUGAGGAUUUGUGGUGUUAUAUCGAACUGUCUGAUAACAAACCAAUUGAAGCAAGUAAGGAUGUAAAUGCCAAAGCCAAGUUGAUUCUACUUCUGGACCCUCAAAAUUAUGUUCAUGUUCAAGAUUGUUUAACUGAAAAAGAGGUAUGGGAAUGUUUAUAACAAGCUGUUGAUGAUAAAGGGCUCACGCGAAGAGUUGGCUUACUAAAAGACUUGAUAAAUACUAAAUACUACAUUGGAAUCUAGUAAUAGUGUUGAAGAAUAUGUGAGCAAGAUCAUGAAUACUGCUCACAAGCUGUGUAACAUUGAUUUUGACGUAAACGAUGAAUGGCUUGGUACUUUGAUGCUGGCAGGCUUACCAGAUGAAUACAAGCCCAUGAUUAUGGAGCUUGAAAGCUCGGGCAUUAAAAUAAGUGUUGAUUCAGUUAAGUCUAAGUUAAUACAAUAAAUUAGUACAUCAAAGUCAACAGUCUUUUAUACAAAUUAUAAGAAAUCCAGAAGUAAUACUCAGCAAGUUAAAAACAGAGGACCAAAAUGCUAUAAUCGCAAUAAAUGGUCAUUUUGCUAAACUAUAUAAACAACCAAAGAAGUUAGUGAAUAAAGGAGAAGGUUCAAGUUUUGUAGCUGCUUUCCCAGUAACUGUUAAACAAAAUGUGAGUGAUAAAUGGCUAAUAGACUCAGGAGCAUCUUUGCACAUGACUUGCAGAGAUGACUGGUUGUAUAAUGUCACUGAGCCAACUGUGAAAAGUGUUACUGUGGCAAACAGAGAGCCAUUAACUGUAAAAGGAGUUGGAUGUGUGGACAUUCAAAUAAAUCAGAAAGAUAAAAUACAAGUUAAAAAUGUACUGUUUGUUCCUGGUUUAGCUGCCAAUCUCCUUUCAGUCAGCACAAUCGUGAAGAAAGGGCAUAGUGUUAUAUUUUAUGACAAGGGAUGUGACAUUCAGAAUGCUAAAGGAGAGGUUAUCUGUAAUGCAUGUAUUAAAAAAUAACCUAUACGUUAUGAACAUAAGUGGAGAAGAGGUUCAUCUGACUUCAAGUGCUAUGAAUUCUAAUGACACUUAUCUGUGGCAUCUGCGAAUGGGACACUUGAAUUUUUCAGAUAUUAAGAAACUGCCAAAUUGUGUUGAAGGUGUGCUUUGACUUCAGACAAAGGUAAUGUUAUCACAUGUAUUCAUUGUUGCGAGGGAAAACAUGCUCAGUUGCCAUUUAAAAAUGUAGGUUCAAGAGCAGUAAGACCACUUGUACUAAUACAUUCUGAUUUAUGUGGCCCUAUGGAAAAUAUUUCAUAUGGAGGUAAGAAAUAUUUUAUAACUUUCAUUGAUGACUACACACGAAUGGUACAUUGUACUUUCUUAAAGAUAAAAUGAGUGUACCUGAUACGUUCAAAAAUUUCAAGUCAAAAGUAGAGAAUGAAUUGAAUUGUAAAAUUAAAAAGUUACACACAGAUAAUGGUAAAGAGUACUGUAAUAACAAUUUUGAGAAAUUUUUAACUAAUCAUGGUAUAAUUUAUCAGACAUCUACUCCGUAUACUCCAGAGCACAAUGGCUUGGCAGAACUAAUGAACAGAACACUAGUGGAGCGAGCGAGGUGUAUGUUAUUUUAUGCCAACCUGGAGAAGAAACUAUGGGCUGAAGCUUUGGCAACUGUUGCGUAUAUUGUAAAUAGAUCUCCUACAAAGGCUUUGGAAGAUUUUUAGUUCUGUUGCUAUGGUACAUGUACCAAAAGAAAAACGUCAAAAAUGGGAUAAAAAAUCUGAGAAAAUGUUGAUGGUAGGUUAUUGUGAAAAUUCCAAAGGAUAUCGAUUAAUAAAUCCUUUAACACAUAAAACAGUAAAAAGUAGAGACAUAACUUUUAUUGAGAAGUAAACUGAAGAUAAUAAUAUACUUAUACCUUCCGAUGUUGAAGUUGCAGACAUGGAGGGCCGGUCAGCCAGUAAUAGCACUGCUCCUACCAGUACUAGGAAGUCAUCUAAUAUUCAAAAUUAGGAAAUACACACUCAGGAAUCAUCAAGUAAGGAUUUUAAUGAACCUAUAAGUAGAAGCGAAGACUCACUAUUUUCUAUGAAACAGAAAACUCAAUUAUUAGUUUAGUAACAACCCUUUAGCUAAUUAUGUAUUGAGUAUCUAUCAAUCAAAAAAAAAAUAUGUGAAAAACGAUUAAAUUAAGUUUGUUUUAUAAAAAGAUUCCCAGUUUAAUGCGCUUGAAAUUUCAAAGUUCCAAAAGAAUGGCCGCAUAUUACCAAUAUAUAAAAGAAAAUAGUUUUCACUCCAUAAUCUGAGACCAAAUGACAAGAAAUAUUUUGGGUAGUAAAUUUAAAAUCAAAUAAAUAAGACAAAAAAUCACUCACCAGUUCACAAAUGAGGAAAUCACCAUCUUGGUAGUUAAGAAUUUUCCGGGUAUCCAUAAUUUUCACCACACAAUAUUGUAUUAAAACACGGAAAAUUCUUUAUCCGAUUAUUGUAAACACGCCACGAAUACGAACAUCAAUCCGUUUCAUGAAAAUUUUAAAAUAAAAACUAUUUUCUAUCGAUAUACUGAAAAUUUCCAAUUAGAAUUUUCAACAUUAGUCACAUUUUUAAAACUAGAAAUCGAAAGAUUUUUUUGUCCUUAUUAAACAGAUCCGGUAUCUCUGUAUUUUAUUUAUCUAAUAAUAACUAUUCUGUACUACAAUCGAAA